GAAAUGCGAUAAGUAAUGUGAAUUGCAGAAUUCAGUGAAUCAUCGAAUCUUUGAACGCACAUUGCACCCGCCAGUAUUCUGGCGGGCAUGCCUGUCCGAGCGUCAUUUCAACCAUCAAGCCCCCGGGCUUGUGUUGGGGACCUGCGGCUGCCCGCAGGCCCUGAAAACCAGUGGCGGGCUCGCUGUCACACCGAGCGUAGUAGCAAUCACCUCGCUCAGGGCGUGCUGAGGGUUCCGGCCGUUAAACAGCCUUACAAAACCCAAGGUUGACCUCGGAUCAGGUAGGAAGACCCGCUGAACUUAAGC
This 306-nucleotide unclassified non-coding RNA is filed under the name plant metagenome. RNAcentral's name for it is "partial contains 5.8S ribosomal RNA, internal transcribed spacer 2, and large subunit ribosomal RNA". The stretch from base 1 to 105 matches the Rfam family "5.8S ribosomal RNA", at positions 50 to 154 of the family's 154-position model. The record is from RNAcentral.